RNAcentral lists this ribosomal RNA (450 nucleotides) under uncultured bacterium. Its description in RNAcentral is "bacterial SSU rRNA". It matches the Rfam family "Bacterial small subunit ribosomal RNA", at positions 335 to 799 of the family's 1533-position model. The record is from RNAcentral.
ACUCCUACGGAAGGCAGCAGUGGGGAAUAUUGCACAAUGGGCGCAAGCCUGAUGCAGCAACGCCGUGUGAGUGAAGAAGGUUUUCGGAUCGUAAAACUCUGUCCUAAGGGAAGAAACAAAUGACGGUACCUUAGGAGGAAGCCCCGGCUAACUACGUGCCAGCAGCCGCGGUAAUACGUAGGGGGCAAGCGUUAUCCGGAAUCACUGGGCGUAAAGGGUGCGUAGGCGGCUUAGCAAGCCAGGGGUGAAAGGCAUUGGCUCAACCAAUGUAAGCCUUUGGAACUGUUAAGCUUGAGUGCAGGAGAGGUAAGUGGAAUUCCUAGUGUAGAGGUGAAAUUCGUAGAUAUUAGGAGGAACACCAGUGGCGAAGGCGACUUACUGGACUGUAACUGACGCUGAUGCACGAAAGCGUGGGUAGCGAACAGGAUUAGAUACCCUGGUAGCACAGAG